RNAcentral lists this ribosomal RNA (710 nucleotides) under uncultured bacterium. RNAcentral's name for it is "bacterial SSU rRNA". It matches the Rfam family "Bacterial small subunit ribosomal RNA", at positions 68 to 754 of the family's 1533-position model. The record is from RNAcentral.
GGGGAUCACGGGGUUAGCAAUAACUCCGUGGUUCUAGUGGCGCACGGGUGAGUAACACGUGGGUAACCUACCCUAGAGACUGGGAUACCCCCUCGAAAGGGGGGCUAAUACCGGAUACGUUCCUUGGGCCGACAGGUCUGAGGAGGAAAGGUGGCGAAAGCUACCGCUCUUGGAGGGGCUCGCGGCCUAUCAGCUAGUUGGCGGGGUAACGGCCCACCAAGGCUAUGACGGGUAGCUGGUCUGAGAGGACGACCAGCCACACGGGGACUGAGACACGGCCCCGACUCCUACGGGAGGCAGCAGUGGGGAAUUUUCCGCAAUGGGCGAAAGCCUGACGGAGUGACGCCGCGUGUGGGACGAAGGCCUUCGGGUCGUAAACCACUGUCAGUGGGAAAGAUGGGUGCCGGUGUGAUAACCGCCGGCAUUUGACGGUACCUGCAGAGGAAGCCCCGGCUAACUCUGUGCCAGCAGCCGCGGUAAGACAGAGGGGGCAAGCGUUGCUCGGAAUUACUGGGCGUAAAGGGCGCGUAGGCGGGAUGGCAAGUCGGUCGUGAAAUCCCUCGGCUCAACUGAGGAGCGUCGAUCGAUACUGCCGUUCUUGAGGAUUGCAGAGGAGACUGGAAUUCCCGGUGUAGCGGUGAAAUGUGUAGAGAUCGGGAGGAACACCGGUGGCGAAGGCGGGUCUCUGGGCAAUUCCUGACGCUGAGCGC